Long non-coding RNA from Manis pentadactyla (Chinese pangolin), 1488 nucleotides. RefSeq lists it as uncharacterized. The record is from RefSeq and is a predicted model, not a curated record. The transcript is spliced from 3 exons. NCBI's taxonomy places the organism in Eukaryota, Metazoa, Chordata, Mammalia, Pholidota, Manidae.
UUUGCUGACUGGUGGGUAUUGGAUUGCAGUUGACCCUUUUCUUAGGCAGAACACAUUUAAAAGCACACAUUUCCCAGAUCUGAGACACACACACACACAUACAAGCUGAAAAAGCAUAGCGGGAGGCAACUGACUGGCCGUGAGGAGUUCAGGGGCUCUGGGGGUCCAGGAAAGGCCUCCUGUAGGGCCUGUGUGCCAAACCAAACAGCACCUGCAUCUAAACCCAUGGGGGCUCCAGGCUCUGUUUAUUCACCUGCCUGUCUGCAGGACUGCAGCAAAGCCCUGGAAAUCACAGGACUCAGACAACUUCACUCAUCUUCCCAGGGACCCUUCCGCACUCCCACCUGACAUCCAGCUGUGCCAGGAAAUGCUCCAAUUAAAUGUUAAUUCACAUAGAACUCUGGAGUAGAGAGAAAACGAUCAGUUUUCGAGGUAAAACAAAAUGAAACUAAGUUUUGUAAAAUCUCAAAGUGUUGGUACAAAGAAUUAAGGGUAAAAAUGUUGAUAUAAAGGGUUGAGAGAACUAGUAAAUACUUAAACAUAAGACUGUUUAUCCUGGGGAGGACCCCACCCAACCCUCAGAAUGCAGAGGAGGCCCCAGACUCCAGGCGGGAGGGUGAGGGGCACAGGACGCGCGGGGAGGACGCCCCAUUAGCCUCCCUGUGAGCACUUCUGGUAGAAGGCCUGUCCCUUGUGUUUUUGUCAGACUUGCUCAGCUUCCCUCUGCUCUCUCCUUGGGUGGUGGCCUGUUUCAGGCAGGCGCACCAAGGCCCCUCCAGAACGCGCGCACUGAGAUAGAGAAGCUUCCUCGAAUGACUAGGAAAAAGCGAUUUCUCCCUCGGGAAGUAUCUUGGUGGGUCUUUUGCCCCCAGUGUGUGCUGCGUGUCCUGGUUGGAAUCAUCAGCUCCUCCAUCUCACUGUCUUCUAGGGGACCUGGGAGAAAGCUGGCCGGCUGCCUGCACUGGCUGUGACCCACCUGCUCCCAGAAAGACCUGGGUCCCCAGGGCCCCGGAGUCCACUGAAGGCAUUCCUAAUGAGCAGGGAAGGUGUGCCCAGACUGCCUGUGACCCUUCCUUGCCCAGCAUCGCCCCACCACAAGCAGAGCUGGGCAGAGGUCAUCUCUGUAGCUGCAGCCCUGGCACUGCCUCCGAUGGAGUGCAAGCUGAGGUUCGCGCCAAUCUUGCACCCCUUGUGAGCGCCCAGAAGUUGAGCUGCCCUCCGGCUGCUCUGUCAGAAGAAAAUGGAAAGCUAGAGAUGCCCGCUUCGCCAGCUCCCUGGGAGAAGGUACUUCUGAGAGUGAGUCCCUUCCACAUGAGGGGCCAGAAUUCCCUUUGAACAGCUUGUGUGUCCAGUCAGCUCAUGGAAGCCGCCCCGCCCCGCAGUAGUGAGUUAGACAUAGGUUCUUGUCUGUGUGUGCUGGUGAAGCUGCCAAGCUUGAAUUCUGUUGGAACAAACCAGGAUGUGGCCCAGAGAGAGGGACACAGGGUG